Zingiber officinale is the source of this 298-nucleotide long non-coding RNA. RefSeq lists it as uncharacterized. The transcript has 3 exons. The record is from RefSeq and is a predicted model, not a curated record. NCBI's taxonomy places the organism in Eukaryota, Viridiplantae, Streptophyta, Magnoliopsida, Zingiberales, Zingiberaceae.
UUCUGUGAUAAUUAAGUUGGUUGCAGAGGCGAACAAGUUCUCUUUGACACCCGAGAAGAGCAGUUACAAUGCCAGAUAUUCAGUUAGGAGGUCAAUCAUUGAGAUCCCAUGGGGCUAAACUUGCAAGGUUCCACAUGCAUGACUAGGUCAUCCUCAUCCUCCUCGCGAUAGUAGAUGGAUGUCUAAAUCUCAUCGAACCUUUCCAUCGGUUUGUGGCACAAGACAUGAUGACAGAUUUUAUGUACCCAUUGAAGAAGAACACAGUGCCGUUUUGGGCUGUUCCUAUACUCGCAGUUCU